Molecule: ribosomal RNA, 373 nt
Filed under: uncultured bacterium
Lineage: Bacteria
Description: bacterial SSU rRNA
Rfam family: Bacterial small subunit ribosomal RNA
Source: RNAcentral
ACAUAGGGUGCAAGCGUUGUCCGGAAUUAUUGGGCGUAAAGAGCUCGUAGGUGGUUUGUUACGUCGGUUGUGAAAUUCAGGGGCUCAACCCCUGACUUGCAGCCGAUACGGGCAAGCUAGAGUUUGGUAGGGGAGACUGGAAUUCCUGGUGUAGCGGUGGAAUGCGCAGAUAUCAGGAGGAACACCGAUGGCGAAGGCAGGUCUCUGGGCCAAUACUGACACUGAGGAGCGAAAGCGUGGGGAGCGAACAGGAUUAGAUACCCUGGUAGUCCGCACCGUAAACGGUGGGCACUAGUUGUGGGAACCUUCCACGGUUUCCGCGACGCAGCAAACGCAUUAAGUGCCCCGCCUGGGGAGUACGAUCGCAAGAUUA